UCACCAUGUGAGACAUGGCUUUCACCUUCCAUCAUGAUUGUGAGGCCUCCCCAGCCACAUAGAAUGGUGUCAUGAGAGCCACCCUUCCCAAAGUAGCACUUGUGAGCAGAGGUGAUCAGAGGGCUUUCUGAAGAGUGAGGAGUGACUUCAGAGGGCCAAAAAGAAGAAAAGGGAGUGAGACAGUCGUUAAGACUCCUAAUCCCGGCUUAUUUUUACUGCUUCUCAACACAGCAUUGCAAGUGGCUGAUUUGAUGGAUGUGGCACGUGACCAAGUUCUGGCUAAUGAGAUGUCUGAAACUUAAAGUGGAAGAGAUGUAUCAUCUCCUUUUCCUUGCUCCAUCCUGCUACCUGAAAAAUGGAUGUGGUGACAAGCCCUGGAAAACCACAAGGAUGAGAACAGCACUGGAGAGAUGGUGCAGCGCAUGAUGCAAUUGCCUAGGUAUCUGAUGGCUGAGUAGAAUUUCUCUCCUCCGACUUUUACAUGGGAAGGAAAUAAAACUCUAUUUUGUUU
RNAcentral lists this long non-coding RNA (511 nucleotides) under Homo sapiens (human). RNAcentral's name for it is "HSALNT0200173". The record is from RNAcentral. Lineage: Eukaryota; Metazoa; Chordata; Mammalia; Primates; Hominidae.